GCUAGGGGUGAUGGUACUCACCUGUAGUCCCAGCUACUCAGGGGGCUGAGGCAGGAGGAUCACUUGAGUCCUGGAGUUCAAGGCCAACCUAAGAAAUAUAGUCAGACCCUGUCUCUA
RNAcentral lists this small RNA (117 nucleotides) under Marmota monax (woodchuck). The record is from RNAcentral. Lineage: Eukaryota; Metazoa; Chordata; Mammalia; Rodentia; Sciuridae.